Molecule: long non-coding RNA, 440 nt
Organism: Aethina tumida (small hive beetle)
Lineage: Eukaryota; Metazoa; Arthropoda; Insecta; Coleoptera; Nitidulidae
Exons: 3
Source: RefSeq, a predicted model, not a curated record
CUGGUUACUAUUUUGACGUUUCAAAUAUACUAGAACAGUUAAAAUGACGACCGGAUUGGGAUCAGUUUCAAAUAAAAUUGUGGAGAGUUCUUCCACCCUGUGGCUAGUUGGAUUUGUAGUUGUAAUAAUAUUGGUGAUGACCAUUUAUAUAUUGUCAGUACUAUUACUACCGCCAGAUGAAUAUCCUCUCAGAGGACCACAUCCUGUCAAAAAUAUAAACCAUGAGCAGAAGCACAUCCAUGAAGAGAAAUCAAAUGCGAAUGUUCCAGCAGGGCCACGCCGGAGCCGUCGACUUCAAGGCCUUGGGCCAAUUAAUUAAUAAAUUAUAAUCAUUUAUUGAGAUUCAUAUUAUACAUUUUAUUUUUAUUACCCAUUUUACAAUUGUGUGAUAAUGGAUCGGGCAUGAUUAUUUUACAAUAAAUGUUAUAUUUACAACACAA